Molecule: long non-coding RNA, 3212 nt
Organism: Mytilus californianus (California mussel)
Lineage: Eukaryota; Metazoa; Mollusca; Bivalvia; Mytilida; Mytilidae
Exons: 4
Source: RefSeq, a predicted model, not a curated record
UAUUUCUGCACUCAAAAAUGGACUGGAGAAGUCCCGAUUACCAUAAUGCUACUUUCAGCACUAUUGGUUCUAUAGUCGUGCCAACUCUUAAUGGUCCCCUUAAAUGGACUGGAGAAGUCUUGAUUACCAUAUUUUAGCACUAAUUUAGUUCUUUUGCUGUGCUCAGCUCUGAAUGGCGGAAGAAGCUGUGUUGCAUUACCGUCUCCUUAAAUGGACUGGAGAAGUCCAGAUUACAAUAUUUCUAUUGCCCAGUAAUCCUUGUGGUAAAUGAACUAUAUUUUCAAAAUUAAAGAUUAAAAGGUUUCCAGAUCUAUUUUGUUUUUCUAAUAUGGCAAAUCUAAUAAUAAAUUUAAUUCAAAUUUUGAAUAACUCAAAUGUUUACAUUACACAAACUUUCUGCAGUAUCAGAUACAUUUUUUUCCAUACUUUUUUUUUUUUUUUUUUUUUCUUUUUUCUUAAAUAUACUGCAGCGCCAAGAAAAGAUGUGCAAUGUAAAGAAAUGAGUUAUUGUUUGAAACAUCAAAAAUGUUAAAGUUUCGGGCAAUUUUUUUAUUUGAAUUUUCAGAUCUCGAGACAAUUUUUAUUAAGAAUGCAUGAUCAAGUUCAGAUAAAUUUUUGUUUUUCAAAUAAUUUUAACUGGUAUAAUUAAGAUGGCUUAGACUUUAGUAUGUCAUAGUUAUUGAAGACUGAUUGAUUGAUUGUUGGUGUUUAAUGCUAAUUUCAGCACUAUUGGUUCUUUUGUUGUGCGCAGCUCUGAAUGGUGGAACAAGCUGUGUUGCAUUACCGUCCCCUUAAAUGGACUCGAAAAGUCUGGAUUACCAUAUUUCUAUUGUUGUAUAAUGCUACUUUCAGCACUGUUGGUUCUUUUGUUGUGCCCAGCUCUGAAUGGUGGAUGGAGCCAGAGUGCACUGAGGGAACAAUGACCUUAGGAAGGAAACAGUGGCAGAUAUUUCUGCACUCAAAAAUGGACUGGAGAAGUCCCGAUUACCAUAAUGCUACUUUCAGCACUAUUGGUUCUAUAGUCGUGCCAACUCUUAAUGGUCCCCUUAAAUGGACUGGAGAAGUCUUGAUUACCAUAUUUUAGCACUAAUUUAGUUCUUUUGCUGUGCUCAGCUCUGAAUGGCGGAAGAAGCUGUGUUGCAUUACCGUCUCCUUAAAUGGACUGGAGAAGUCCAGAUUACAAUAUUUCUAUUGCCCAGUAAUCCUUGUGGUAAAUGAACUAUAUUUUCAAAAUUAAAGAUUAAAAGGUUUCGAGAUCUAUUUUGUUUUUCUAAUAUGGCAAAUCUAAUAAUAAAUUAAUUUCAAAUUUUGAAUAACUCAAAUGUUUACAUUACACAAACUUUCUGCAGUUUCAGAUACAUUUUUUUCCAUACUUUUUUUUUUUUUUUUUUCUUUUUUCUUAAAUAUACUGCAGCGCCAACAAAAGAUGUGCAAUGUAAAGACAUGAGUUAUUGUUUGAAACAUCAAAAAUGUUAAAAGUUUCGGGCAAUUUUUUUAUUUGAAUUUUCAGAUCUCGAGACAAUUUUUAUUAAGAAUGCAUGAUCAAGUUCAGAUAAAUUUUUGUUUUUCAAAUAAUUUUAACUGGUAUAAUUAAGAUGGCUUAGACUUUAGUAUGUCAUAGUUAUUGAAGACCGAUUGAUUGAUUGUUGGUGUUAAAUGCUAAUUUCAGCACUAUUGGUUCUUUUGUUGUGCGCAGCUCUGAAUGGUGGAACAAGCUGUGUUGCAUUACCGUCCCCUUAAAUGGACUGGAAAAGUCUGGAUUACCAUAUUUCUAUUGCUGUAUAAUGCUACUUUCAGCACUAUUGGUUCUUUUGUCAUGCCCAGCUCUGAAUGGUGGAUGGAGCCAGAGUGCACGGAGGGAACAAUGACCUUAGGAAGGAAACAGUGGCAGAUAUUUCUGCACUCAAAAAUGGACUGGAGAAGUCCCGAUUACCAUAAUGCUACUUUCAGCACUAUUGGUUCUAUAGUCGAGCCAACUCUUAAUGGUCCCCUUAAAUGGGCUGGAGAAGUCUUGAUUACCAUAUUUUAGCACUAAUUUAGUUCUUUUGCUGUGCUCAGCUCUGAAUGGCGGAAGAAGCUGUGUUGCAUUACCGUCUCCUUAAAUGGACUGGAGAAGUCCAGAUUACAAUAUUUCUAUUGCCCAGUAAUCCUUGUGGUAAAUGAACUAUAUUUUCAAAAUUAAAGAUUAAAAGGUUUCCAGAUCUAUUUUGUUUUUCUAAUAUGGCAAAUCUAAUAAUAAAUUUAAUUCAAAUUUUGAAUAACUCAAAUGUUUACAUUACACAAACUUUCUGCAGUAUCAGAUACAUUUUUUUCCAUACUUUUUUUUUUUUUUUUUUUUCUUUUUUCUUAAAUAUACUGCAGCGCCAACAAAAGAUGUGCAAUGUAAAGAAAUGAGUUAUUGUUUGAAACAUCAAAAAUGUUAAAGUUUCGGGCAAUUUUUUUAUUUGAAUUUUCAGAUCUCGAGACAAUUUUUAUUAAGAAUGCAUGAUCAAGUUCAGAUAAAUUUUUGUUUUUCAAAUAAUUUUAACUGGUAUAAUUAAGAUGGCUUAGACUUUAGUAUGUCAUAGUUAUUGAAGACUGAUUGAUUGAUUGUUGGUGUUUAAUGCUAAUUUCAGCACUAUUGGUUCUUUUGUUGUGCGCAGCUCUGAAUGGUGGAACAAGCUGUGUUGCAUUACCGUCCCCUUAAAUGGACUGGAAAAGUCUGGAUUACCAUAUUUCUAUUGUUGUAUAAUGCUACUUUCAGCACUAUUGGUUCUUUUGUCGUGCCCAGCUCUGAAUGGUGGAUGGAGCCAGAGUGCACGGAGGGAACAAUGACCUUAGGAAGGAAACAGUGGCAGAUAUUUCUGCACUCAAAAAUGGACUGGAGAAGUCCCGAUUACCAUAAUGCUACUUUCAGCACUAUUGGUUCUAUAGUCGUGCCAACUCUUAAUGGUCCCCUUAAAUGGACUGGAGAAGUCUUGAUUACCAUAUUUUAGCACUAAUUUAGUUCUUUUGCUGUGCUCAGUUCUGAAUGGCGGAAGAAGCUGUGUUGCAUUACCGUCUCCUUAAAUGGACUGGAGAAGUCCAGAUUACAAUAUUUCUAUUGCCCAGUAAUCCUUGUGGUAAAUGAACUAUAUUUUCAAAAUUAAAGAUUAAAAGGUUUCGAGAUCUAUUUUGUUUUUCUAAUAUGGCAAAUCUAAUAAUAAAUUAAUUUCAAAUUUUGAAUAACUCAA